CCUAUGGGAGGCAGCAGUGAGGAAUAUUGGUCAAUGGGCGCGAGCCUGAACCAGCCAAGUAGCGUGAAGGAUGACUGCCCUACGGGUUGCAAACUUCUUUUAUAAAGGAAUAAAGUGAGGCACGUGUGCCUUUUUGUAUGUACUUUAUGAAUAAGGAUCGGCUAACUCCGUGCCAGCAGCCGCGGUAAUACGGAGGAUCCGAGCGUUAUCCGGAUUUAUUGGGUUUAAAGGGAGCGUAGAUGGGUUGUUAAGUCAGUUGUGAAAGUUUGCGGCUCAACCGUAAAAUUGCAAUUGAUACUGGCAGUCUUGAGUACAGUUGAGGUAGGCGGAAUUCGUGGUGUAGCGGUGAAAUGCUUAGAUAUCACGAAGAACUCCGAUUGCGAAGGCAGCUUACUAAACUGCCACUGACAUUGAUGCUCGAAAGUGUGGGUAUCAAACAGGAUUAGAUACCCGGGUAGUC
Molecule: ribosomal RNA, 460 nt
Filed under: uncultured bacterium
Lineage: Bacteria
Description: partial 16S ribosomal RNA
Rfam family: Bacterial small subunit ribosomal RNA
Source: RNAcentral